Molecule: ribosomal RNA, 505 nt
Filed under: uncultured bacterium
Lineage: Bacteria
Description: bacterial SSU rRNA
Rfam family: Bacterial small subunit ribosomal RNA
Source: RNAcentral
ACUGUACGAGUUUGAUCCUGGCUCAGGAUGAACGCUAGCGGCAGGCCUAACACAUGCAAGUCGAGGGGUAGUUACUUUCGGGUAAUGAGACCGGCGCACGGGUGCGUAACGCGUAUGCAAUCUACCUUUUACAGGGGAAUAGCCCAGAGAAAUUUGGAUUAAUACCCCAUAGUAUUACAGAUUCGCAUGUUUCUGUGAUUAAAGUUCCAACGGUUGAGGAUGGGCAUGCGUGACAUUAGCUUGUUGGUGAGGUAACGGCUCACCAAGGCAACGAUGUCUAGGGGUUCUGAGAGGAUGAUCCCCCCACACUGGUACUGAGACACGGACCAGACUCCUACGGGAGGCAGCAGUGAGGAAUAUUGGACAAUGGAGGCAACUCUGAUCCAGCCAUCCCGCGUGCAGGAAGAAGGCCCUAUGGGUUGUAAACUGCUUUUAUACAGGAAUAAACCCCUCUACGUGUAGAGGGCUGAAGGUACUGUAAGAAUAAGCACCGGCUAACUCCGUG